AAAGAAACCCAUUAUAUUCUCCAUGGCGAGACUGGACCGAGUGAAGAACUUAACAGGUCUGGUCGAAUUCUAUGGCCGGAGUGAUCGCCUGAAGGAGCUGGCAAACCUUGUGGUGGUUUGUGGAGACCAUGGCAAAGAAUCAAAGGAUCUGGAGGAACAAGCAGAAUUCAAGAAGAUGUACAGUCUCAUUGAGAAGUACAAUCUGCAUGGGCAUUUCCGGUGGAUCUCUGCCCAAAUGAACCGAGUUCGCAAUGGGGAGCUCUACCGAUACAUUGCCGACACGAAAGGAGUUUUCGUUCAAGUACUUCUCUUCUUUCUGGAAAAAUGGCACGCUGUUACUUCUCGAGUUGAAGCUUCACUAACCUGCAUUUGUUUGCUUUGCUAUCCUUCAGCCUGCAUUCUACGAAGCGUUUGGGCUCACUGUCGUCGAAUCCAUGACUUGCGGACUGCCGACAUUUGCCACUGUUCAUGGAGGACCUGGUGAAAUUAUAGUGGAUGGGGUGUCUGGUUACCACAUCGAUCCUUACCAGGGCGACAAAGCUGCCGAAAUCGUCACAAACUUCUUUGAUAAGUGCAAGGAAGACCCGAG
RNAcentral lists this long non-coding RNA (589 nucleotides) under Musa acuminata (dwarf banana). Its description in RNAcentral is "long non-coding RNA (MACU_LNC000990)". Lineage: Eukaryota; Viridiplantae; Streptophyta; Magnoliopsida; Zingiberales; Musaceae. The record is from RNAcentral.